UGUGAUCUCCACACAGUGGGGCGAUUGCAACAAGCAGGAGUGGAGAGGUGGAGAAGAAAGGCCUUGAGGUCGUGCUACAAGAACAGCCUGACAAAAGCCACCAAAAAACGCUGCACGUUCUGUGGCUUUCCCUUGCAUCUCCACUGGAAUCUACGGAUAUCCACCUGAGCAGGCUGUGCACGAGGCGUUAGCAACUGUGAGGGAGUAUCUGGAUGAACAUCAUGACAAGCUGGACAGAGUCAUCUUCUGUGUGUUUUUGCCGACGGAUAAGGAGCUGUAUCUGCAGAAUCUCCCGCUCUACUUCCCUGCUGCCUGACCAAUGACAGCAGCUUAUGGUUCAGAGACCGCUGUCAAGAGUAAACUCUGAGAGAGUGGAUUUGGUUGCUGUGGAUACGCACCGCUACGCUCAACAUUUCAGAAGAUUCCUCCUCCUCAUCCUCGCUGCCAUCACAGAUCAAGACCCUUCUUCAGCAGGAAGAUAACUCCUAAAUGGAUGAUUGCUUUUUUGAAGUGCACACUCGCUCUUGUGCAGAUGUUGAUUAGUUUCUCUGUUUUUGCCACUAAUGGUUGAGGUUAAGAGGGGUGCUGUGAUAAAGGUGUGAAAUUAUAUUGAUAAUUCUUGUGAAAAAUAGACUGUGUGUACCUUAAGCUGCACUCUAACUUGACCUUUAUUGUCUGUGAUCAGUGGUAGCUUUGCAUCAAGCUUACAGCCCCAUAUGAGUUAUGUGUCCUGUGCUCUUUGAAUACUGGGAUUCCAGUAUGUGUGCAUGUGAGACAAUGACAAAAGCUUAUUAAAACAAAUCACACAGGC
Morone saxatilis (striped sea-bass) is the source of this 811-nucleotide long non-coding RNA. RefSeq lists it as uncharacterized. The record is from RefSeq and is a predicted model, not a curated record. NCBI's taxonomy places the organism in Eukaryota, Metazoa, Chordata, Actinopteri, Moronidae. The transcript has 6 exons.